AUUGAACGCUGGCGGCAUGCCUUACACAUGCAAGUCGAACGGCAGCACGGGAGCAAUCCUGGUGGCGAGUGGCGAACGGGUGAGUAAUAUAUCGGAACGUGCCCAGUCGUGGGGGAUAACGUAGCGAAAGCUACGCUAAUACCGCAUACGAUCUACGGAUGAAAGCGGGGGAUCGCAAGACCUCGCGCGAUUGGAGCGGCCGAUAUCAGAUUAGCUAGUUGGUGGGGUAAAAGCUCACCAAGGCGACGAUCUGUAGCUGGUCUGAGAGGACGACCAGCCACACUGGAACUGAGACACGGUCCAGACUCCUACGGGAGGCAGCAGUGGGGAAUUUUGGACAAUGGGCGCAAGCCUGAUCCAGCAAUGCCGCGUGCAGGAUGAAGGCCUUCGGUUGUAACUGCUUUGUACGGAACGAACGGUAGAGCUCUAAUAAAGACUUGCUAAUGACGGUACCGUAAGAAUAAGACACCGGACUAACUAACGUGCC
Molecule: ribosomal RNA, 487 nt
Filed under: uncultured bacterium
Lineage: Bacteria
Description: bacterial SSU rRNA
Rfam family: Bacterial small subunit ribosomal RNA
Source: RNAcentral